CAGCAGCCACGGUAAUACCGAGGGUGCAAGCGUUAAUCGGAAUUACUGGGCGUAAAGCGCGCGUAGGUGGUUUGUUAAGUUGGAUGUGAAAUCCCCGGGCUCAACCUGGGAACUGCAUCCAAAACUGGCAAGCUAGAGUAUGGUAGAGGGUGGUGGAAUUUCCUGUGUAGCGGUGAAAUGCGUAGAUAUAGGAAGGAACACCAGUGGCGAAGGCGACCACCUGGACUGAUACUGACACUGAGGUGCGAAAGCGUGGGGAGCAAACAGGAUUAGAUACCCCAGUAGUCCCUGUCUCUUAUAC
This 301-nucleotide ribosomal RNA is filed under the name uncultured bacterium. RNAcentral's name for it is "partial 16S ribosomal RNA". It matches the Rfam family "Bacterial small subunit ribosomal RNA", at positions 509 to 807 of the family's 1533-position model. The record is from RNAcentral.